This 323-nucleotide long non-coding RNA is filed under the name Mus pahari (shrew mouse). RNAcentral's name for it is "lncRNA (MGP_PahariEiJ_G0003554.1)". The record is from RNAcentral. Lineage: Eukaryota; Metazoa; Chordata; Mammalia; Rodentia; Muridae.
AGACACCCCUGGACCAACAGAUGGAAAACCAUUAGGGAUGGUGUUGACCAUCUGUGGGGAUUUAGGGAAAACCCACAGUGAGCAGAGCUGUUAGGGACAAUGGCACAGACAUUCUCUGGGAAUCUGAAAAGCUGUGAACUUGCUGUCUCUAUUAAGAAGUGCGUUUGGCUGGCUCCACAUGUCAAACUUUGGUACAUUCUAAGCAGAAGAAGGGUGCAGAGCAUCGGGGGUCUGCCUGGGGAAUUGUUCUUAUGUGCUUCUGACUUCUCUUUUCAGAAAGGAAAUGUUGGUAAAAAUGACAUAAGAAACAACUCACAGUGAAA